This is a long non-coding RNA of Argentina anserina (silverweed cinquefoil), 840 nucleotides long. RefSeq lists it as uncharacterized. The transcript has 2 exons. The record is from RefSeq and is a predicted model, not a curated record. Lineage: Eukaryota; Viridiplantae; Streptophyta; Magnoliopsida; Rosales; Rosaceae.
UCAAAGGAACAAUAACUACAGGGGAAACAACAACUGAAGGCCAAGGUUCAAUGGUGGAAACUAUGCAAAUGAGUUUGGAAUCUAUCAGAUCUGUGACAGGUCGGGUCACAGUGCUUACACUUUCCGCCAAAGAAACACCCAGCAAGGUGAAGCUUCAAGCUCUACUGUGGUAUGUCAGAUUUGCAAGAAAAGUUGUCAUAUUACAAAGUUUUGCAGAUACAGAAACUCAAACCAGAACCAAUAGAACUCAAACUCAGCCUUUCUUGCCCGUGGUGACUCUGGUAAUGAGAUGUGGAUUGUUGAUUCAGGGGCUACCAACCACAUGACUUCAGAUAUCCACCAGAUACAGAACGUGACCUCAUACAACUCUUGUGACUCUGUCCAGAUCGGACAAGGUGACAGGAAGAGUGUUGUAUGAAGGAGUGUGUGACAAGGGCCUGUACCCAAUUCCAAUCAAAGUUGCCAGAAAAUGUCUACAUAUUUUAGAUGUUUCUACUGCUUUCCUCGGUAAUAAGGUUUCCCACUCUUUGUGGCACCAAAGAUUAGGUCAUCCCUCAAAUCAGAUAAUGUCUAGUAUGUUGAACAAGUCUAAAAUAGUUGUAGCCUCUUAUCAAUGCAAAUCUGUGUGUGAUUCUUGUCUAGCUGGUAAAUCCCACAAGUUGUCUUUUCCCAUGGCCUCUGAAAAAUCUGUAACACCCUUUGAAGUCAUCCAUUCAGAUCUUUGGGGGUCAUCUCCUGUGUUGUCACUUGAGGGAUACAAAUAUUACAUGACUUUGAUUGAUGAAUGUACAAGAUACACAUGGAUUUUUCCAUUGAGAAAUAAAAGAGAAGCUUUUCCUU